RNAcentral lists this long non-coding RNA (509 nucleotides) under Homo sapiens (human). RNAcentral describes it as "HSALNT0400810". Lineage: Eukaryota; Metazoa; Chordata; Mammalia; Primates; Hominidae. The record is from RNAcentral.
GGGGAGGCAGGCCCAGCCGGGACGAGGCCCUGCCUCCAGCCAACGCUCCGCCCAGAACGAAGCCCCGCCCCGGAACGAAGCCCCGCCUCCAGCAACUCUCUGCCCGGAGAGAGGCCCGACAGCUGCGACCCGACUGGUUCUGUCCGAGCCCGACGGGCCGCGCUGACCCAGCGACUGUGCCUGACUGACCACAGGGAGGAGACUGUGCACAAUCAUGGAGGGCAGUGGCAAGUCUGGUGGAGAGGGAAGGAGGUCAGGAAAUAAACGAGAGAGGAAAAUUAAGAGGUCAGUGGAUUCAAAACGAUGAAAGUGGAUUCAAAACCUCUGUCAAGGGGUGCUGUCCUUUCCUGGCCAAGUCUCUUUUAUUCUCUUAGGGCUGCAACCUCUUCACCUGGGAAAUGAAUGGUCCUGUGAUUUACAAGAGCAGGGUCCAGGCUGAAGGUGCAGGCCCUAUCCAAGACACAACAUUUCCAGUGGCAGAGAUAAAAAAGUAAGAUUUCAGACUCAAA